RNAcentral lists this ribosomal RNA (163 nucleotides) under Rinorea dimakoensis. RNAcentral describes it as "Rinorea sp. 'dimakoensis' 5.8S ribosomal RNA". It matches the Rfam family "5.8S ribosomal RNA". Rfam says of the family: 5.8S ribosomal RNA (5.8S rRNA) is a component of the large subunit of the eukaryotic ribosome. It is transcribed by RNA polymerase I as part of the 45S precursor that also contains 18S and 28S rRNA. RNAcentral also lists the same sequence under 5 other names. Lineage: Eukaryota; Viridiplantae; Streptophyta; Magnoliopsida; Malpighiales; Violaceae. The record is from RNAcentral.
AAACGACUCUCGGCAACGGAUAUCUCGGCUCUCGCAUCGAUGAAGAACGUAGCGAAAUGCGAUACUUGGUGUGAAUUGCAGAAUCCCGUGAACCAUCGAGUCUUUGAACGCAAGUUGCGCCCGAAGCCUUCGGGCCGAGGGCACGUCUGCCUGGGUGUCACGU